RNAcentral lists this unclassified non-coding RNA (220 nucleotides) under rhizosphere metagenome. RNAcentral describes it as "partial ribosomal RNA internal transcribed spacer region". The record is from RNAcentral.
GUAGGUGAACCUGCGGAAGGAUCAUUAUUGAAAUAAACCUGAUGGGGUUGUUGCUGGUUCUCUAGGGAGCAUGUGCACGCCUUGUCAUCUUUAUAUCUCCACCUGUGCACCUUUUGUAGACCUUCCAGGUCUAUGUUGCUCCAUUUACCCCAAUGUAUGUUAAUAGAAUGUUGUGUUUAUAAAAUCUAUACAACUUUCAGCAACGGAUCUCUUGGCUCUC